UCUCCGUAGGUGAACCUGCGGAGGGAUCAUUACAGAGUUCAUGCCCUACCGGGUAGAUCUCCCACCCUAUGUUAUUAUUACUUUGUUGCUUUGGCGGGCCGUUAGGCUCCGGCCCGACUACCGGCCCCGGCUGGUAAGCGCACGCCAGAGGACCCAAAACCCUGAAUAUUAGUGUCGUCUGAGUACUAUAUAAUAGUUAAAACUUUCAACAACGGAUCACUUGGUUCUG
This 229-nucleotide unclassified non-coding RNA is filed under the name plant metagenome. RNAcentral describes it as "partial contains small subunit ribosomal RNA, internal transcribed spacer 1, and 5.8S ribosomal RNA". The record is from RNAcentral.